CCUACGGGAGGCAGCAGUGAGGAAUAUUGGUCAAUGGUCGGGAGACUGAACCAGCCAAGCCGCGUGAGGGAGGAAGGUACAGAGUAUCGUAAACCUCUUUUGUCAGGGAACAAAGGCGGGGACGUGUCCCCGGUUGAGUGUACCUGAAGAAAAAGCAUCGGCUAACUCCGUGCCAGCAGCCGCGGUAAUACGGAGGAUGCGAGCGUUAUCCGGAUUUAUUGGGUUAAAAGGGUGCGCAGGCGGUCUGUAAAGUCAGCGGUCAAAGCCCGGGGCUCAACCCCGGCCCGCCGUUGAAACUGGCAGUCUCGAGUUGGAGAGAAGUAUGCGGAAUGCGCGGUGUAGCAGUGAAAUGCAUAGAUAUCGCGCAGAACUCCGAUUGCGAAGGCAGCAUGCCGGCUCCACACUGACGCUGAGGCACGAAAGCGUGGGUAUCGAACAGGAUUAGAUACCCUAGUAGUC
This 459-nucleotide ribosomal RNA is filed under the name uncultured bacterium. RNAcentral describes it as "partial 16S ribosomal RNA". It matches the Rfam family "Bacterial small subunit ribosomal RNA", at positions 338 to 795 of the family's 1533-position model. The record is from RNAcentral.